GAUGAAGAACGUAGCGAAAUGCGAUAAGUAAUGUGAAUUGCAGAAUUCAGUGAAUCAUCGAAUCUUUGAACGCACAUUGCGCCCGCCAGUAUUCUGGCGGGCAUGCCUGUUCGAGCGUCAUUUCAACCAUCAAGCCCCCGGCUUGUGUUGGGGACCUGCGGCUGCCGCAGGCCCUGAAAAGCAGUGGCGGGCUCGCUGUCACACCGAGCGUAGUAGCAUACAUCUCGCUCUGGGCGUGCUGCGGGCUCCGGCCGUUAAACCACCUUCAUAACCCAAGGUUGACCUCGGAUCAGGUAGGAAGACCCGCUGAACUUAAGCAUAUCAAUAAGCGGAGGA
RNAcentral lists this unclassified non-coding RNA (336 nucleotides) under soil metagenome. RNAcentral describes it as "partial contains 5.8S ribosomal RNA, internal transcribed spacer 2, and large subunit ribosomal RNA". The stretch from base 1 to 120 matches the Rfam family "5.8S ribosomal RNA", at positions 35 to 154 of the family's 154-position model. The record is from RNAcentral.